GAGCUGCUAGUCCAACAAAGACAACUGAUUUCGACUCAGUUAAUUAUGGUUUAACCCCAUAGCACCUCU
Molecule: transfer RNA, 69 nt
Filed under: Nanorana parkeri
Lineage: Eukaryota; Metazoa; Chordata; Amphibia; Anura; Dicroglossidae
Description: tRNA-Arg
Rfam family: tRNA
About the family: Transfer RNA (tRNA) molecules are approximately 80 nucleotides in length. Their secondary structure includes four short double-helical elements and three loops (D, anti-codon, and T loops).
Source: RNAcentral